CGGCGGCGGCGGUGGCUUCACUCCCGGCGGCGCGAUGGUGUCCCGGCUUCGCCCCCCCGGGCAAAGGGCAUCCUCGGGCGGGCCGCCUGUGGGGUGGAACAUAGCAGCUGCCCACCAGCACACCGUGUCAGUUCUCCUGGCCAAAGGUGUCAGGGAUGCGCUGUGGUGCUCGGGAGAUGGAAUGUCAUCUGUGAGACAACGUGUAACUUCAGUUCGUCCUUCCUCAGAAAGACUUCCUCAGAAGUCAGAUGAAAGGGGAGGAAGGCCAUACAGCCCCCAGAGGUCACUGGCUGUAGGUGAACUUUAUCAUUCCGAAGCCCACCAAGCCCUGCAUCUUGUGGAGUUCAAGGGAAGGAAAAAGCUCAGGCAUCUGCUUCCUCAGUUCAAUAACCAACAGAUUAACUUCUAAGUUCAAUUAACCAACAGACCCUCAACUGGGUUUUGCCAUAACAAGCAUCUAUAUAACACUUUUUUUUUUUUAACUGGCCUUUUUAGCAGCUGACGUAAAACAUCAACAGUCUUACAUACUCAGUGAGAUGUAAUGCACAAUACGAUUAAAGUCCCAUAUGUUUGUUCAGAAUCACUCAGCUAUAUGUAAAGUCGCUGGUGUGAAGCUAGAGAGGACAGUGAGUCCCACCCUGUGCAUGCAGAAUGGCAGAGCAGACUCUUGGUGAAUGAAGAAAUGUGCAGAGGGUUUAAUUCUGAAAGCUUUUUGUGCAAAACCCCUCCAAGGAGUGUUAGAAACCACUACAACUGUAAGUGAGCUUGUGAUGGGUAGAAGACAGGAUUAAAUUGAGGAUUAAGCUAAUAAGGAACAGGUUUCCUUCCUGUGCUGGGGUACACCCUUGGUAUGACAAGAGCCCUGUGCCAGUGUCUGGGGUGCUGCUGGUCCUUAACUGCUGCAGUCACAGCUGUGCCUCUGUGGUAGGAGCCUGCUCCAAAGCUGUGGCACACAGGCAGUUUUACAGUGAGACUAAGGCAUUUCCUGCUGGCUCUCCGCUGAACUUGUGGAAAUUGGGAUUGAAGCUGGGGGUGGGGAUGCCUGAUGACAGCAAUAAAAAUAAAUGGCUAUUGCAGGGGUAGGUGGCCCAGAUCAGAUAGCACUUCCUAUAGGGGUUGGGGACACGUCAUCCAAGUUCAUCCCGAGCAUAAUUAACCAUUAAUAGGGUUGCAGAGGGAAAAUGGAGGAGACUAAGAGUUAAAAGGAUGUUAGCUCCUUGGACUUUGGCACUGCUUGGUAGGGAAGUGAACUGAAGAACCAAUGCCAGAGAUAUGAUGGGUGUGGAUAUUUCACUUAUUUACUUAGGUUACUGUGUUUUCCUUAGCCAAUUAUAAAGUCUUUCCUUGUUUUAAUUGCAGACCAAGUGUUUGCAAACAAGGAUGGAUACCCAGCAAAGGCAGUCACUUUCCCUGUAUUUCUAGUUUUAAAAUGGAACCCUUGUUCCUGCCAGCAUCACUUGACAAAAGUUGCACAUCAAACCAGUUCUUUUCAGCGUUCUUUUCAGCCUGAGUGAGGCUACAAGUAAAACCAUGUAAGCUGCAACUGAACACAAAACCCAGGAAUUUUUUGUUCUUUUUUUUUGUUUAAUAGCCUGUCCAAAAAUAUAAAAAAGGCAUCUGCAUAGCAACUGAUGAUACACCCACUGGGCUGUAGUCAGCUGUUGUGCCACAGAAGCUAUGAGGAACAGGUAACACCAACAAUGACUGGUGGCACUUUUAUUUGUUGGGAAUUAUCUAAGUACCAGAUGAGCAAUUCUCACAUUACACCCAUGGGAUGGAAAAAUAUUUUCUCUGCCUUAUAAGAAAGACUUUAGUCCAGAAGAUUUAGAAAGCCAACAAAAUAAUUUGGUGCAACAUGCAGAAAUUCCUCCUCUCUCAUACAUUCUGUCACUAAAACACUAAGACACCCUGUCCUAAAAAUAUACCCAAGUUGUGCAAAUAUACCCCAGUAUCUUUCAUAAUUAUCAUGUGUUUGUUUCACCCUGUUCUUGUUUUAAUAAUAUCACAAUAAUAUUUUCGUCUUAUUGCUUAGCUUUACAAAUGUUUACAGUACCUAAAACAUAAGUAAUGAUAAUAACAAAUUUAUAUCAUACAAUAAAUUAAGCAAGCUGAUAGUAGCAGAGGGAAUAAUGUGGAAUGAGUAGGAUACAGUUGAAAUAAUGUAGUUUAUAUAUUAGCAAUAUAUAUGCUGAGUGUUUCAAUAGUUAUUGUUGGUAUAAUAGAGUAAACCUUUUCCCUUCAGGGACAAAGGUUUGUUGGUUUUGGUUAAGUACUGUGGAUAUCUGUUUUUGGUGUGCAAACCAUUUCUAAAAUUGAGAGAGACCCCACAUGCUUCCCAGCAGGUGAAUAAUACUUGUGACAGGUAGAUGUACUACAUGCCUAGGGAUAAGUACUCAAGAAUGGCAUUUGUGUGUUGAUGAAAUUUUGCAUCCAGGCUUUUCUGUUCUCUGAAACUUCACUUUGUAGAUACAUGGUGUUUGUAGUGAUACAGCAUUUCAUCUCCCAAGCAAAAUUUUGUAGUAAUCUGCAAAAACAGUGCUGGCACCCAAUUUAGAGGGUGUGUUUAUAGACAUGGGAUGGUACUGUUUGAAAAGGGGUCCUACAGCUGUUUCCUGAACUGUAGUAAAGACUUAGUUAUGACUUAGCAAUGACUUAGAUUAUUGGAAGAGAUUGCAGGUAGCUGCAGAUGGAACACACAGUGGUUGCACUCUAGGAGGACACUGCAAACCAGCAUGUGUGAAUUGAGCAACACUUGUUCUAUAAUCUGUUACACUGUAGUUUCACAUAAAUCUUGCUGCUGGAGCAAACUUAAUCCUAGCGAACGGAGGGAUCUCUUCAUUGAAACUGAUGGCUGUUGCAGAACUUUAAUUAGUCUCAGUACCUAUAAUAAUGCAUUUUGUAACACUCUUUAAUGCUUUUAAAGACUUGUAAAUCAACUACUCUUUCCCUCCCUAACUGUCUUGCCAAGACCUAUUUCUCCUGUGAGGUCUACAGAAAAGUCCAACUGCAAGCACUAAAAGGUACCUGGCAAAAUUGAUGCUUAAUAUUUACUUAAUCCAAAAACAAUGAUCAUAAAUGUGUAUGUAUAUAUAGGCAUUGUAAAUAUAGAAUUAUCUUUCUCUUUCCUCAUGCUUC
This is a long non-coding RNA of Parus major (Great Tit), 3135 nucleotides long. RefSeq lists it as uncharacterized. Lineage: Eukaryota; Metazoa; Chordata; Aves; Passeriformes; Paridae. The record is from RefSeq and is a predicted model, not a curated record. The transcript is spliced from 2 exons.